This is a long non-coding RNA of Xenia sp. Carnegie-2017, 392 nucleotides long. RefSeq lists it as uncharacterized. The record is from RefSeq and is a predicted model, not a curated record. Lineage: Eukaryota; Metazoa; Cnidaria; Anthozoa; Malacalcyonacea; Xeniidae. The transcript has 3 exons.
GAUGUUACAAUCCAUGGAUUGAGGUAGAAGAAAUACUUGAAAAUGAACUUCCAGCAGUAAAACAAACUCAAGCAUGACACAGGAGAAAAAACGACGCAUGAUUGUUUGGGAAAAGGAGGUACGUAAUAAAUUGGAAGUCUGUCUCUUCUGUGCUAUCUAAAAAAUUCCUUUGAAUCCGAAAAGUGUGCUGUUUAAUCGCAUAGUUACUCGGGAAGAGAAGUUACUUUCUUGAUUGAAUCUUGAACAUAUCAUAAGCGAAGAUUGAUAGUAAUUAUGUCUGAGAAAAAGAGUUGCAUGGAAAGAGCAAUGUCACAUCAGCCUAGUAAGUCAGCCCUCCGUCAGGGACCGUCGUACCUCCGUCGAGGAAUUCCAGGCGCCACCCCUGUUUAGAA